UGGGGAAUUUUGGACAAUGGGGGAAACCCUGAUCCAGCCAUCCCGCGUGUGCGAUGAAGGCCUUCGGGUUGUAAAGCACUUUUGGCAGGAAAGAAACGUCAUGGGUUAAUACCCCGUGAAACUGACGGUACCUGCAGAAUAAGCACCGGCUAACUACGUGCCAGCAGCCGCGGUAAUACGUAGGGUGCAAGCGUUAAUCGGAAUUACUGGGCGUAAAGCGUGCGCAGGCGGUUCGGAAAGAAAGAUGUGAAAUCCCAGAGCUCAACUUUGGAACUGCAUUUUUAACUACCGGGCUAGAGUGUGUCAGAGGGAGGGGGAAUUCCGCGUGUAGAAGUGAAAUGCGUAGAUAUGCGAAGGAACACCGAUGGCGAAGGCAGCCUCCUGGGAUAACACUGACGCUCAUGCACGAAAGCGUGGGGAGCAAACAGG
This 429-nucleotide ribosomal RNA is filed under the name Acidobacteriota bacterium. RNAcentral describes it as "Acidobacteria bacterium partial 16S ribosomal RNA". It matches the Rfam family "Bacterial small subunit ribosomal RNA", at positions 355 to 776 of the family's 1533-position model. Lineage: Bacteria; Pseudomonadati; Acidobacteriota. The record is from RNAcentral.